This 30-nucleotide non-coding RNA is filed under the name Mus musculus (house mouse). Lineage: Eukaryota; Metazoa; Chordata; Mammalia; Rodentia; Muridae. The record is from RNAcentral.
UGCCUUAAGGAGUGUGACCUGAGAGCCCGU